CCCUCAAGUUAUGGUUGAUACGCUGCAAACGGGAUAUGCAUAGAUACAAUGAAGCAACACAAAUUUCUGUUUAAACACAAUACGUUACGCAGUUACAUACAGUAAAGAGCAAAAGUAAAAGUGGACAUGGCUGCGCCGAGCUGAAGACCGUGAGUCUUCAGGAAGAUUGUUGCGGGGCAUCAUAAAUCAGAGCGUGAAGGCUGUACGUAAAAGUUUACUGUGUACCGAGGAUGUUAAUUUCCGUGUUGCAUGCGAUGUUAAGCACAGAGUAGAAGUUUCAAACAAUGAUUCAGUUUGCAACUUUUUCUCGUUCGUCCCUAUUAUGUUUUCAUAGGUCCAAUUUCAUAUUUGGUGUUUGUUCUCUUUGAGUUUCUUUGAUAUCUCUAGGAUUGUUUUGAUCAAUACCUUCUCCGAUACCGCUGUUGAGCAGGACGCCCCAGGCGAACCAUAUUGCGCUGGACAAGUUGAGGGCAUCCUCUUCGGUACCGUCAGUGUUUGCUAGCUUGAACCUCCCGAAGGGCGAGAACCGGUCGAGGAGGUACAGAACUAGAGCCACUACGUGCACCGACACCAUCACCAGUAUCCAAAGUGUGUUGCUGAAUGGUUGCAGAAACGAUACCAGGGUCGACGAUCUUGAAGGCUGAGCGUCCAGAUUUAUUUUGUACAAGAAUCUGCAGAGUAAUUUAUUACGAGUUCAAGAUCAUACCUUUUUCUCGAGAAUAGUGAUGCCCUGGUACUUGAAAGGCUUGCUGAACUCGAUGAACUCCGCGCGUUCUGGAUUGAUGGUUAAAGGAGCAACGAUCAUGUCGGCUCUUUCGUUGACUAUUUCCCCUAUGAGUCCCGUCCACUCUUUCUUGCCGCCUGAUACAGCAUUCACUAAUGAAGUAUUUUGUUUCUACUGGUGAAAUUGAUAUAAUUGCGUCUAAAAAACAAUUUUCAACCUGA
Molecule: non-coding RNA, 945 nt
Organism: Megalopta genalis
Lineage: Eukaryota; Metazoa; Arthropoda; Insecta; Hymenoptera; Halictidae
Source: RefSeq, a predicted model, not a curated record